Molecule: ribosomal RNA, 459 nt
Filed under: uncultured bacterium
Lineage: Bacteria
Description: partial 16S ribosomal RNA
Rfam family: Bacterial small subunit ribosomal RNA
Source: RNAcentral
CCUACGGGUGGCAGCAGUGAGGAAUAUUGGUCAAUGGCCGGAAGGCUGAACCAGCCAAGUCGCGUGAGGGACGACUGCCCUAUGGGUUGUAAACUUCUUUUAUAAGGGAAGAAUAAAUGCUACGUGUAGCAUGAUGCCUGUACCUUAUGAAUAAGCAUCGGCUAACUCCGUGCCAGCAGCCGCGGUAAUACGGGGGAUGCGAGGGUUAUCCGGAUUUCUUGGGUGUAGAGGGUGCGUAGGCGGAUUUUUAAGUUAGUGGUUAAACGUCGGGGCUUCUCCGUGAUUUGCCAUUAAUACUGUAAGACUCGAGUUCAGACGAGGUAAGCGGAAUAAGUUGAGUAGCGGUGAAAUGCUUAGAUAUAACGAAGAACACCGAUAGCGAAGGCAGCUAACCGGACUGCAACUGACGCUGAGGCACGAGAGCGUGGGUAGCAAACAGGAUUAGAUACCCGAGUAGUC